GAUAUUAUAGCUCAAUGGCAGAGCAAAGACCUGUUAAGUCUGAGGUUGAAGGUUCGAAUCCUUCCGAUAUCGC
Molecule: transfer RNA, 73 nt
Filed under: Kordia sp. SMS9
Lineage: Bacteria; Pseudomonadati; Bacteroidota; Flavobacteriia; Flavobacteriales; Flavobacteriaceae
Description: tRNA-Asn
Rfam family: tRNA
About the family: Transfer RNA (tRNA) molecules are approximately 80 nucleotides in length.
Source: RNAcentral